CUAAGGAGACUGCCGGUGGACAAACCGGAGGAAGUGGGGGAUGACGUCAAGUCAUCAUGGCCCUUACGGCCAGGGCUACACACGUGCUACAAUGGUCGGUACAAAGGGUUGCCAAGCCGCGAGGUGGAGCUAAUCCCAUAAAACCGAUCGUAGUCCGGAUCGCAGUCUGCAACUCGACUGCGUGAAGUCGGAAUCGCUAGUAAUCGUGAAUCAGAAUGUCACGGUGAAUACGUUCCCGGGCCUUC
Molecule: ribosomal RNA, 245 nt
Filed under: uncultured Pseudomonas sp.
Lineage: Bacteria; Pseudomonadati; Pseudomonadota; Gammaproteobacteria; Pseudomonadales; Pseudomonadaceae
Description: partial 16S ribosomal RNA
Rfam family: Bacterial small subunit ribosomal RNA
Source: RNAcentral